GAACGCUGGCGGCGUGCCUAAUACAUGCAAGACGAGCGAACGGACGAGAAGCUUGCUUCUCUGAUGUUAGCGGCGGACGGGUGAGUAACACGUGGAUAACCUACCUAUAAGACUGGGAUAACUUCGGGAAACCGGAGCUAAUACCGGAUAAUAUUUUGAACCGCAUGGUUCAAAAGUGAAAGACGGUCUUGCUGUCACUUAUAGAUGGAUCCGCGCUGCAUUAGCUAGUUGGUAAGGUAACGGCUUACCAAGGCAACGAUGCAUAGCCGACCUGAGAGGGGGAUCGGCCACACUGGAACUGAGACACGGUCCAGACUCCUACGGGAGGCAGCAGUAGGGAAUCUUCCGCAAUGGGCGAAAGCCUGACGGAGCAACGCCGCGUGAGUGAUGAAGGUCUUCGGAUCGUAAAACUCUGUUAUUAGGGAAGAACAUAUGUGUAAGUAACUGUGCACAUCUUGACGGUACCUAAUCAGAAAGCCACGGCUAACUACGUG
RNAcentral lists this ribosomal RNA (494 nucleotides) under uncultured bacterium. Its description in RNAcentral is "partial 16S ribosomal RNA". It matches the Rfam family "Bacterial small subunit ribosomal RNA", at positions 31 to 507 of the family's 1533-position model. The record is from RNAcentral.